Molecule: ribosomal RNA, 393 nt
Filed under: uncultured bacterium
Lineage: Bacteria
Description: partial 16S ribosomal RNA
Rfam family: Bacterial small subunit ribosomal RNA
Source: RNAcentral
AUACGGAGGAUGCAAGCGUUAUCCGGAUUUAUUGGGUUUAAAGGGUGCGUAGGCGGUUUGCUAAGCGGGAGGUGAAAUGCCGGCGCUCAACGUCGGAAGUGCCUCCCGAACUGGUGGACUUGAAUGACUCUGCCGUGGGAGGAAUGUGUAGUGUAGCGGUGAAAUGCUUAGAGAUUACACAGAACACCGAUUGCGAAGGCAUCUCACGAAGGGUUGAUUGACGCUGAGGCACGAAAGCGUGGGGAUCAAACAGGAUUAGAUACCCUGGUAGUCCACGCAGUAAACGAUGAUGACUAACCGUCGGCGUUACACAGUCGGUGGCCAAGCGAAAGCGAUAAGCGCCCCACCUGGGGAGUACGGUCGCAAGGCUGAAACUCAAAUGAAUUGACGGGG